AAUUUUUGCCGAAUUUCUUAACAGAAAACGGGGGAACCAAUUUUGGGUGAAUUAUUCUUUUCGUAAAAAGAAUAUAGGGAACCUUCUACCGAACCCUCAGCUAACUCCGUAGGCAUCGAAGGGAGA
RNAcentral lists this small RNA (126 nucleotides) under uncultured Paenibacillus sp. RNAcentral's name for it is "ydaO/yuaA leader". It matches the Rfam family "c-di-AMP riboswitch aptamer (ydaO/yuaA leader)", at positions 11 to 130 of the family's 134-position model. From Rfam's summary of the family: This family represents a conserved RNA structure found upstream of the ydaO and yuaA genes in Bacillus subtilis and related genes in other bacteria. The ydaO/yuaA element is thought to act as a genetic "off" switch for the ydaO and yuaA genes in its native state. The record is from RNAcentral. Lineage: Bacteria; Bacillati; Bacillota; Bacilli; Caryophanales; Paenibacillaceae.